GUGAACACAGCAGUAAGUCAUCAAGGUGAACACAGCAGUAAGUCAUCAAGGUGAACACAGCAGUAAGUCAUCAAGGUGAACACAGCAGUAAGUCAUCAAGGUGAACACAGCAGUAAGUCAUCAAGGUGAACACAGCAGUAAGUCAUCAAGGUGAACACAGCAGUAAGUCAUCAAGGUGAACACAGCAGUAAGUCAUCAAGGUGAACACAGCAGUAAGUCAUCAAGGUGAACACAGCAGUAAGUCAUCAAGGUGAACACAGCAGUAAGUCAUCAAGGUGAACACAGCAGUAAGUCAUCAAGGUGAACACAGCAGUAAGUCAUCAAGGUGAACACAGCAGUAAGUCAUCAAGGUGAACACAGCAGUAAGUCAUCAAGGUGAGUACAGUAUCAUUAGGUUCCUCUAAGUAUCAGACAGUAAUACGGUAAUGGUAUCUCUAUGGAUA
Long non-coding RNA from Oncorhynchus tshawytscha (Chinook salmon), 443 nucleotides. RefSeq lists it as uncharacterized. The record is from RefSeq and is a predicted model, not a curated record. The transcript is spliced from 3 exons. Lineage: Eukaryota; Metazoa; Chordata; Actinopteri; Salmoniformes; Salmonidae.